Molecule: microRNA, 22 nt
Filed under: Oryza sativa (Asian cultivated rice)
Lineage: Eukaryota; Viridiplantae; Streptophyta; Magnoliopsida; Poales; Poaceae
Also listed under: 1 other name
Description: osa-miR5072
Source: miRBase by way of RNAcentral
CGAUUCCCCAGCGGAGUCGCCA